UGAGGAAUAUUGGGCAAUGCCCGCAAGGGUGACCCAGCAACGCCGCGUGGAGGAUGUAUGUCGUAAGAUUGUAAACUCCUGUUAGAGGGGAAGAAUAGUACCGGUUGGACCGGUAUAUGACUGUACCCUCAGAGAAAGCCCCGGCUAACUACGUGCCAGCAGCCGCGGUAAUACGUAGGGGGCAAGCGUUGUCCGGAUUUACUGGGUGUAAAGGGCGCGCAGGCGGGAUAAAAAGUCAGUGGUGAAAUCCUACAGCUUAACUGUAGAACUGCCUUUGAUACUUUUAUUCUUGAGUUCGGGAGAGAGAGACGGAAUUCCAGGUGUAGUGGUGAAAUACGGAGAUAUCUGGAAGAACACCAGUUGCGAAGGCGGUCUCUUGGUCCGACACUGACGCUGAGGCGCGAAAACGCGGGGAGCAAACA
RNAcentral lists this ribosomal RNA (422 nucleotides) under uncultured bacterium. RNAcentral's name for it is "bacterial SSU rRNA". It matches the Rfam family "Bacterial small subunit ribosomal RNA", at positions 355 to 774 of the family's 1533-position model. The record is from RNAcentral.